This 254-nucleotide ribosomal RNA is filed under the name uncultured bacterium. RNAcentral's name for it is "partial 16S ribosomal RNA". It matches the Rfam family "Bacterial small subunit ribosomal RNA", at positions 524 to 776 of the family's 1533-position model. The record is from RNAcentral.
UACGUAGGGAGCGAGCGUUGUCCGGAUUCAUUGGGCGUAAAGAGCUCGUAGGCGGCUUGAUAAGUCGGAUGUGAAACCUCCAGGCUCAACCUGGAGUCGCCAUCCGAUACUGUCAUGGCUAGAGUCCGGUAGGGGCCCACGGAAUUCCUGGUGUAGCGGUGAAAUGCGCAGAUAUCAGGAGGAACACCAAUGGCGAAGGCAGCUCGCUGGGACGGUACUGACGCUGAGGCGCGAAAGCGUGGGGAGCAAACAGG